Molecule: ribosomal RNA, 1404 nt
Filed under: Didymosphaeria variabile
Lineage: Eukaryota; Fungi; Ascomycota; Dothideomycetes; Pleosporales; Didymosphaeriaceae
Description: partial small subunit ribosomal RNA
Rfam family: Eukaryotic small subunit ribosomal RNA
Source: RNAcentral
AAAGCUGUCUAGUUAUAAGCAAUUAUACCGUGAAACUGCGAAUGGCUCAUUAAAUCAGUUAUCGUUUAUUUGAUAGUACCUUACUACUUGGAUAACCGUGGUAAUUCUAGAGCUAAUACAUGCUAAAAACCCCAACUUCGGGAGGGGUGUAUUUAUUAGAUAAAAAACCAAUGCCCUUCGGGGCUCCUUGGUGAUUCAUGAUAACUUCUCAGAUCGCAUGGCUUUACGCCGGCGACGGUUCAUUCAAAUUUCUGCCCUAUCAACUUUCGAUGGUAAGGUAGUGGCUUACCAUGGUUUCAACGGGUAACGGGGAAUUAGGGUUCGAUUCCGGAGAGGGAGCCUGAGAAACGGCUACCACAUCCAAGGAAGGCAGCAGGCGCGCAAAUUACCCAAUUCCGAUACGGAGAGGUAGUGACAAUAAAUACUGAUACAGGGCUCUUUUGGGUCUUGUAAUUGGAAUGAGUACAAUUUAAACCUCUUAACGAGGAACAAUUGGAGGGCAAGUCUGGUGCCAGCAGCCGCGGUAAUUCCAGCUCCAAUAGCGUAUAUUAAAGUUGUUGCAGUUAAAAAGCUCGUAGUUGAACCUUUGGCCUGGCUGGCAGGUCCGCCUCACCGCGUGCACUUGUCCGGCCGGGCCUUUUCUUCUGGAGAACCGCAUGCCCUUCACUGGGUGUGUUGGGGACCAGGACUUUUACUUUGAAAAAAUUAGAGUGUUCAAAGCAGGCCUUUGCUCGAAUACGUUAGCAUGGAAUAAUAGAAUAGGACGUGCGGUCCUAUUUUGUUGGUUUCUAGGACCGCCGUAAUGAUUAAUAGGGACAGUCGGGGGCAUCAGUAUUCAAUUGUCAGAGGUGAAAUUCUUGGAUUUAUUGAAGACUAACUACUGCGAAAGCAUUUGCCAAGGAUGUUUUCAUUAAUCAGUGAACGAAAGUUAGGGGAUCGAAGACGAUCAGAUACCGUCGUAGUCUUAACCAUAAACUAUGCCGACUAGGGAUCGGGCGGGGUUCUAUUGUGACCCGCUCGGCACCUUACAAAAAAUCAAAGUGUUUGGGUUCUGGGGGAAUAUGGUCCCAAGCUGAAACUUAACAAAUUGACGGAAGGGCACCACAAGGCUGGAACCUGCGGUUAAUUUGACUCAAACCGGGAAAAUCACCAGGGCCCCUAAAAAAAGGGAUGGGAAAAUGGAGAUCUUUUUUUUUUUUUUUUGGGUGGUGGGGGGGUUUUAACCCCGGGAAAAUUUUGUGUUGGGGAAAAAAAAAAACACAAACCCCCAAAAAAAAGGGGGGGGGUGGGGGCGGCCGCUUUAUAAAGAAAUCUCUUCCCGAAAAAAUUUUUAAUGGGGGGUGCCUCUAAAAAGAGGGCCCCCCCUUUAAUAUAAACAUUUUUUUUGUCAAAAAAAAAAAAUAA